UACGGAGGGGGCUAGUGUUGUUCGGAAUUACUGGGCGUAAAGGGCGCGCAGGCGGCUUGGCAAGUCGGGUGUGAAAUCCCUUAGCUUAACUAAGGAAUAGCGCUCGAAACUACCUCGCUAGAGGACGGGAGAGGGAAGUGGAACUCUCGGUGUAGGGGUGAAAUCUGUAGAUAUCGAGAGGAACACCGGUGGCGAAGGCGGCUUCCUGGCCCGUAUCUGACGCUGAGGCGCGAAAGCGUGGGGAGCAAACAGG
This 253-nucleotide ribosomal RNA is filed under the name uncultured bacterium. RNAcentral's name for it is "partial 16S ribosomal RNA". It matches the Rfam family "Bacterial small subunit ribosomal RNA", at positions 524 to 776 of the family's 1533-position model. The record is from RNAcentral.